This 348-nucleotide unclassified non-coding RNA is filed under the name soil metagenome. Its description in RNAcentral is "partial contains 5.8S ribosomal RNA, internal transcribed spacer 2, and large subunit ribosomal RNA". The stretch from base 1 to 120 matches the Rfam family "5.8S ribosomal RNA", at positions 35 to 154 of the family's 154-position model. The record is from RNAcentral.
GAUGAAGAACGUAGCGAAAUGCGAUAAGUAAUGUGAAUUGCAGAAUUCAGUGAAUCAUCGAAUCUUUGAACGCACAUUGCGCCCGCCAGUAUUCUGGCGGGCAUGCCUGUCUGAGCGUCAUUUCAACCCUCAUGCCCCUAGGGCGUGGUGUUGGGGAUCGGCCAAAGCCCGCGAGGGACGGCCGGCCCCUAAAUCUAGUGGCGGACCCGUCGUGGCCUCCUCCGCGAAGUAGUGAUAUUCCGCAUCGGAGAGCGAUGAGCCCCUGCCGUUAAACCCCCAACUUUCCAAGGUUGACCUCAGAUCAGGUAGGAAUACCCGCUGAACUUAAGCAUAUCAAUAAGCGGAGGA